Myotis davidii is the source of this 1915-nucleotide long non-coding RNA. RefSeq lists it as uncharacterized. The transcript is spliced from 3 exons. Lineage: Eukaryota; Metazoa; Chordata; Mammalia; Chiroptera; Vespertilionidae. The record is from RefSeq and is a predicted model, not a curated record.
UAUUUUUUUUUAUUUAGAGGUUACCAGAAGCUCUGGGUUUUUUGUUUUGUUUUUGUUUUUUAAUCAUUUUCAGAUGUUAUCCAGAAAUCUGCAAGUAUACUUUUCCUGUUUUAACUCCUUCCUUUUAUCACCUGACUAUCAGGGAAGCGAGGUUGAGGCUGCCCUGACCUGACAUGUCAUGAUGUCGACUUGCUAGGUGGGGUUCGCUGGGGACGAUAACCAGUGGAAUUGUUGCAUAUAUUGGAGUAUUCAGACUUGAAGAAGGAUAUAGAUUUCGUGACUGAUGCUGAAUGGAAGCCAACCAUUGCAGAAAUUUUGGGGAAAAUGAAUAAGAAGAAUGCAAGGGCAAGUAGGAAUUCAUUUCUAGCAUUCCUAAACCUGCUUUGUCGUGUCAACUCCACUACAGUCAGAGGAAAAGAACUGAGUUCAUGGAAAUUACCAGCUAAGCCUUCCAUCUGUCUUUAAUGUUUUUAGGAAAUUUCAGGUAAGUGAGAUGUCUUUUUUGAAGAAAGACUAUUAUGUAUAUUAAAACGAAUUGUUCCAUAUUAGUAAUGAUGGGAAGCUUGUUUAUUCUGCACUUCAGAAAGUCUUGCCCCCAUUAGGUGUGGUUUUCAAUAUUGUGGAGUCCCAACCAACAUGGAGCUUUUCCUCUAUUCAGAAGUACUCAGAACCUUCAUUGCAGUGUAUGAAGUGCCAAUUUUUGUUGGUUGGUGCUCAACUCCUUUGUUAAAAAAUACUUCAGUUGAGUUUUAAUUUUGUCCCUCAUUAUAUCCAUAGAAAAACUUUUAAAAAGCUUCAAAGUUUCUGCCAGGUUACAUUUGCAUUCUACACAGUCAAGUAAGAGUAAAAUUGUGAGAUAUAUAGGUCUUAAUAUCACCUUGAUUGGGUUGAUAGGUAAUUUUUAAGUUAUAGGAUUAAGUUUUAUGUUUAUUACAUACUAAUGUAAUAAAUACUGUGCCAGACCCUGGAACACAAAGAUGGACUAGCAUACAAUACAGAUGAGAUUCUAGGUGUGGGAAUGAAAAUGGAAUAAAACGAGGCUAUUUCAUUUCUCCAUCACAAAUGGAGAAUUGGCAUAUUAAUCUGAACAUGACAUUCUAUUUCAAAGAUCUCUGCGCAUGUGUACUUGUGUGUGAGAGACAAUUACAAAACACUUCCUAUGUGGCAGCUACUGUUGUAAGCUCUUUUACACACAUUUUUAAAAAAUCCUUAUAACUGUUCUAUAAGUGCUAGCCCAUUUUUUUAACGUCAUUGAGGCAGAGAAGCUAUCUUGCCUAGAUUUGUGCAACCAGGUCUAGGACCAGUAUUUGAACCAAGACAAGCUGAUUGCAGAGCCUGCACUCUUAAUUUGGAUACUUAUACGUAGUACCUGGCUGAGUACCCAUAAAACAUCCCAAAUUCUCAAUAAAAUUUGCCUACUUUUUAAAAAGGAAAGUUUAAAUAGCACAGAAAGAUUAAAGGUGUAAUAAUAAAUUUUUUAGAGAAUCAAAAAUUCCCUUUCUCACACUGGCUCUAAGCCAGUCAUUUUGUGUCAUGACUUCCCCUCCCACAUUCCACACUCCUAACCCCCAGCAGAGUACAUGCACAGAAAAAUUAAAAAACCAGAGCGGAAGCAGAGCUUAUUGGUUAUAUUUUAUACUCAGAACCUAUUGUGCCUUUGGUUCACCCCUCUUUCUUUUUGGAAUGUGUACAUUUUCUUUAUCUUCUAAAUGAUGAGAAAAUAUGACUGCUGAAAGUUUUUCUAGGAUUCUUUAAAAAAAUAGGUAAGACUACAGAAGUAAAAAAAAAACCUGCUCUGAGAACCUCAGGUAGGUAAUUUGAUUUCUGUUGUAUGUGUAGUUUAAGGCUCCUGCCACCCCAUCCUGUUAUGUACUGUAAACCCAUUUGGCCUUUAAUAAACUGUUUUAUGAAUUGA